UGGAAUUGUGGCCUUAAUUACAUUCCAAGGUCUGAUCUCAAGUCAUUUGCAACCUCUCAGAUGGAUUACAUCAUGGGUCAAAAUCCAAUGAACAUGAGCUACAUAGUUGGAUAUGGCAAGAAGUUUCCAACUCAUAUUCAUCAGAGAUGCAUCAAUUCCAAAUAAUCACAAAAAUUACUCAUGCACUAGUCGUUGGAAGUGGCGCGACACCCCUAACAGAAAUCCUAACAACAUCACAGGAGCAAUGGUUGGAAGUGUCAAGUAUAGAUUUUUUCGACAAAGGAUGUUUUCAUUAUUUUAUGGACUUUGGCAGUACAUGUUCAACAAGUUAGAGCUUCAUGUACUCAUUUUAGGGAUUGACAAGGCUGGCAAAAUGACUUUGCUUGAGAAGAUGAAGUCGGUGUACACGAGUGUAGAAGGUCUUCCUCCUGAUCGAAUUGUGGAAAGCAAUUGCUUCUCCAGGGCGUGGUAUUUUGGCCAUGGAUGAAUCCAAUGCUACAUGUGGAAAGCGGUUGGAUUCAAUUAAACUAGAGAACACCGAAGCUAACCGUCAAGCAUGGCGUAAAAUUAUAUAUGAAGAAAGUGUUAUGACUUGGUUAAAAUAUAAUUUUUAUGUGUAUGAUUUUAUAGUACUUGAAAUAUUAUGA
Vicia villosa (hairy vetch) is the source of this 647-nucleotide long non-coding RNA. RefSeq lists it as uncharacterized. The record is from RefSeq and is a predicted model, not a curated record. The transcript is spliced from 3 exons. Lineage: Eukaryota; Viridiplantae; Streptophyta; Magnoliopsida; Fabales; Fabaceae.